GCCGUCGUAGCUCAGUAGGUAGAGCAUUCCCAUGGUAAGGGAAAGGUCCGCAGUUCAAUUCUGCGCGACGGCU
RNAcentral lists this transfer RNA (73 nucleotides) under Parcubacteria group bacterium. RNAcentral's name for it is "tRNA-Thr". It matches the Rfam family "tRNA". From Rfam's summary of the family: Transfer RNA (tRNA) molecules are approximately 80 nucleotides in length. Their secondary structure includes four short double-helical elements and three loops (D, anti-codon, and T loops). The record is from RNAcentral.